Xenopus tropicalis (tropical clawed frog) is the source of this 2204-nucleotide long non-coding RNA. RefSeq lists it as uncharacterized. The record is from RefSeq and is a predicted model, not a curated record. The transcript has 2 exons. NCBI's taxonomy places the organism in Eukaryota, Metazoa, Chordata, Amphibia, Anura, Pipidae.
GAGCUGUUGGGCCUGGAGCUGCUGCAGAACCUCUUUGGGUUUGUGAAUCAAAAUUCCUUUACUCCUACAGCGCAGUUAUAGCGAUCCAUGUGGGGCCCAUGAUACAUCCUGCGCUAACAUUCCUCUUCUUAGCGUUAUUCCUCCAGCUGGGGGCGCAAUUUCACACCAGAAGGUAUUGCAAUUAUCCUCUUAGGGGGAAGAGAUCCCUUUACCUCUGUAUUUAAAUCCCAGCAGCUCAGUUAAUGGACUACAGCUCCCAGGAUUCCUUUGGAGAUUUAUUAUUUGCCCCACGGGUGGGGGGGGGGGGGGGAUUCCAAUGGUUUUCUGUUCUUUUAUUGCUCUGUAGGGACAAACGUUUGAAACCUUUCCUUGGAGAAUAAACCUUAUAAAUAGGGUAUUUGUCCCCUUUAAACAAGAGGUUCUGCAGCAGAUGAGACUAGUAAGCCCCACCCUUACCUUUCCUUCUAUAGAAGCACAAAUAGAUCACAUUGUGUCACAUGUGUGCUACUAGUGUCCCAUGUGGCUUUCCCCAUAGAAAGCAAUGGGAUCUAUUUGCAGCCAGCUACAAGCAGCUCUCCUAAAGGACUGAUAUAGGGUGAGAUAUCCGGGGCAGGAAAAGAAUAUUCGCCCUAAACAGACAAAUUGCUUUACUGGGUCCUGUGACACGGCCGUUGGCGCUGAGGCCGAUUGCACAAGUCGGAACAGUGGAACUUUGCCUACUAAGCCCCUGGGGGGAGGGGGGGGGGGGGGGGAAGGGACCAUUCAGUAAAAAGAGUUGCUUAAAGGGGAACUCUGCCUAAAGAAUGUUAUGUGUGUGAGAUCCAUGUAAUUGUGUAUUUGCUUAUGGCUUUGGUUCUGACUCCUGAAACAAUGUAGCAGCAGUGUGUUAAACAGCUGGCUUUUAGUUCAUUAUUCUGAAGCAGCAGUGCAGGUUGCACGUGAGUCUAUUGGAUAUACAGAUGUGUUCCCUAACCCCAAACUGGCGGAUAAAGGGUUAAGGCCGCUGGACUAGCCAGGAGCAUAUCUGUAUUUCCAUGAAGGCUGACAUGGCAGGCGGUGCAUAUUUCCCAUCAUGCCUCCCGUGUCACCUGUUGCAUUCUGCCCCCCCCCCCCCAGUAGUGCUGCAGAGCCGCAGCUGCCGGCGCGGUGCUUUCCUAACUUGGCAAUGGCAGCCGGCACAUGGCUAACGUCGGCCGAUUCCUCAUCCUCCCUGUUUAUAUUUGGCCUGUCAGUGCGGGGCUGACACACAGGCUAUAUAUACCCAGAGCGCUGCCAUAUGCUGGGCACAGGGGGCAUUAUUAAAUGGAUGGAUGGCUUCCUGGGGGUGGGGUGGGGGGGGGGUCAGAUGAAAUUCUAGAUCCCAGCGCAUCGGAAUGUCUGUUUGUGCAACAGCAGCGAAUAUCUACAUGUGAAAUCUGUCACUGUGUGUGUGGCCUGAUUAAGCAAACGGAUCCUGCGCAAUCAGGGACAGGAGUUAAUUAUUAGCCGGGAACUCAGUGAAAGCGCCCAAAGCUUGCCAGCUCAGGAGAAGCCUUGGGCAGGGGCAUCUGUGGCUCUCUAACACUCACUGCAUUGGAGCUGACUUUAUAGAGGAUUGCAAGUGAGAGCACUGCUGGUUCUGACUACACUUACUAUUGACCACAAUGAAGCAGCAGUCAGGUAGUCUCUAGCUCCCACAAUGCCUUGCAUGUUCUGUUUCAUUGGGCCCUGCUUGUAGUGGAGACCCUCAGAGCAGCAGCUUGGGGCAGGACUGGGGGAGGCUGUAGGGCAGGAAAGCAACAGUAGUGUGAGAUUUUGGUGGUAGGAUAAGAUACGGGUGACAGUAGGGCAACAUGGUGACAUAGGGCAAGCUGGCAGUGGUAGGGCAAGAUGGAGGUGGUAGGAUGAGAUGAAAGAAGUGGGUAGGGCAAGGUGGAGGUGGUAGGAUGAGAUGGAAGGAGUUGGUAGGGCAAGGUGGCAGUGGUAGGGCAAGAUGGAGGUGGUAGGAUGAGAUGGAAGAAGUGGGUAGGGCAAGAUGGAGGUGGUAGGGCAAGAUGGAGGUGGUAGGAUGAGAUGGAAGAAGUGGAAGUGGGUAGGGCAAGAUGGAGAUGGUAGGAUGAGAUGGAAGGAGUUGGUAGGGCAAGAUGGAGAUUGUAGGAUGAGAUAGAAGAAGUGGAAGAGGGUAGGGCAAGAUGGAGGUGGUAGGAUGAGAUAGAAGAAGUGGA